GCUCUCUCUUCUCAGGACAUCAAACAAUUUCGGCGACUACUAUCAAAGGUUAUUUUUGCUUCACUUAACACAAAUACAUAUUGAUUGAAUGUUUUGGGUAUGAUUUUCUUUCAUUUUGAUUUUUUUUGUUUUUGUGUAUAGUUACUAUUUUCAACAACGAUAGUUCUCUUUUCCUCACCGGCGAUGACUCCUCCACUCGACUGAGAAACCAC
RNAcentral lists this long non-coding RNA (212 nucleotides) under Vigna radiata. RNAcentral's name for it is "long non-coding RNA (VRAD_LNC001590)". The record is from RNAcentral. Lineage: Eukaryota; Viridiplantae; Streptophyta; Magnoliopsida; Fabales; Fabaceae.